RNAcentral lists this ribosomal RNA (460 nucleotides) under uncultured bacterium. RNAcentral describes it as "partial 16S ribosomal RNA". It matches the Rfam family "Bacterial small subunit ribosomal RNA", at positions 338 to 795 of the family's 1533-position model. The record is from RNAcentral.
CCUACGGGGGGCAGCAGUGAGGAAUAUUGGUCAAUGGACGAGAGUCUGAACCAGCCAAGUAGCGUGAAGGAUGACUGCCCUAUGGGUUGUAAACUUCUUUUAUAUGGGAAUAAAAUGUUCCACGUGUGGGAUUUUGUAUGUACCAUAUGAAUAAGGAUCGGCUAACUCCGUGCCAGCAGCCACGGUAAUACGGAGGAUCCGAGCGUUCUCCGGAUUUAUUGGGUUUAAAGGGAGCGUAGUUGGAAUGUUAAGUCAGUUGUGAAAGUUUGCGGCUCAACCGUAAAAUUGCAGUUGAUACUGGCAGUCUUGAGUACAGUAGAGGUGGGCGGAAUUCGUGGUGUAGCGGUGAAAUGCUUAGAUAUCACGAAGAACUCCGAUUGCGAAGGCAGUUCACUGGACUGCAACUGACACUGAGGCGCGAAAGUGUGGGUAGCAAACAGGAUUAGAUACCCUUGUAGUC